Molecule: long non-coding RNA, 578 nt
Organism: Zea mays
Lineage: Eukaryota; Viridiplantae; Streptophyta; Magnoliopsida; Poales; Poaceae
Exons: 2
Source: RefSeq, a predicted model, not a curated record
UCAAAUACAUGUUUUCAUGAUUGUAGAAAUUGAUACCACCGAGUUGUCGUGACAAUUAUAAUUUAUAAGAAUUUGCUACUUCCAUGUGGUUUUUCAUGAUUGUAGAAAUUGAUACCACCGAGUUGUCCCUUCUUUUUAUUGAAAACUUCAUGAUCCAGUCGAAAAGUUUAAUUAUGAGAAAUACAUAAGGCAUUAGCAUUACUAACAUGAAAUGAAAACACACAUGCAGCUAUAAGUAUACAGCCCAUGGCCCAAAUAGUGACAGUUCAAGCCCAUCAGCGUGUAUUCAUUCUACAGAAACAUCAGCUGUGAAAUUUAUAGGUAGAAAACCAGUUCAGGCCCAAAUAGAUCAUUGUCAGUUCAAACACAACUAAACAAAUAGGCUAAAUGCAUACAAACGGCGAGUGAUCGAUCAUCUUAUCAUGGAUGUAAUUUUUAGUACCUUUCCAUUAAGGGCUAUUUUGCACAAGUGGGGUUUUCAGGAUCUAUUUCCCCACAAGUUCCCAGAGGGAACUCACUAAGGGUAAAAGAGGUCCUUUCAUCUUCCAGUGCAUCUCUUGCACUGGGAUCCAGAGUUG